Capsicum annuum is the source of this 1010-nucleotide long non-coding RNA. RefSeq lists it as uncharacterized. The record is from RefSeq and is a predicted model, not a curated record. Lineage: Eukaryota; Viridiplantae; Streptophyta; Magnoliopsida; Solanales; Solanaceae. The transcript is spliced from 2 exons.
UCAAAACCAACUCUCAAGUUCACUGCAAUCGUCGAAUUGUACAAGCUAAACAUUUGCUAAGAAAGAAUUGGAUUCAUUGUUAUUAUUGUAUUGACGUUAUUUCUGGAAAAUGGCAGGAGAGUAAUAAGGAUGGAAUGUUUUGAGGGGACAACUUGGUAUUACUAAUAUAUUGAAAAUGAUGUGUAUAGCUAAUACAUAACUCAAUAUAUAAUAAAGUGUAUAAAUAAUGCAAUAGGCUAAAAAAUACCCAAUCAUGAGAAAUGCAAAGCUCAAAGCUUAGUCAUCUGAGUAAGAUCUAAAUCCAGCUCACUAAAAUGAUGAGCGACAAGAUUUGCUAAAUUCCAUUACUGUGAACUUGCUCGAAGCAUCUUCGACUUCAGUAUCUCAUCCUUUUCAGAUAAGUGAGCUUUAAGCUUGGUCUAAGAUUUCUUCUCCUUUUUUAAAUAUUGAUGGGUUGAAGCUAUAAAGAUAUUAAUACCACCAUCAGAUCUACAGAAAGCGGGUCAAAAUCCUAGUUUUCCGGUCUAACUCUUUGUUAUAACUUGUAGCAGGUAUUUCUGAACAAGACAAGGUUUGGAAAUUCAGCAACUAGAGCUCCAUUUAAGUACAUCAGGUCUUGAUUUGGUAUAUAAUUCCACCUCAAAGCUCUCAGUAGGUGUUUGGAAUCUAAGAUCCUCCAAUUUGGGCCAACUAUAGGAUAAUUUACCAAUUACUAUCUGAGAGCCAAAAUGCAGGGAUUCACAGAGGAAUCCGAGGUUUUAGCAGCUGGACAGGAGUUUUUACGGAGAAAACUCGAGCAAUCAGCUAUGGGGGUGGAUUAAGGAAGAAGAUGAAAAUAGAAUUCAAUUAGGAAAACUGUAUUAUUAUUCAAUUGAUGAUUGAAUUUGUAGAUACAAUGCCUUUUAUAAGAAAUGAGAGUGAAUCUAAUUUGCUAACUGCUUCUAACUAAUUCACUAGCAUGUAACUAACUGCUGAUAUGGCAAAGCUAAUUAACUUGUCCAGUUGAUUCA